RNAcentral lists this ribosomal RNA (460 nucleotides) under uncultured bacterium. RNAcentral describes it as "partial 16S ribosomal RNA". It matches the Rfam family "Bacterial small subunit ribosomal RNA", at positions 338 to 795 of the family's 1533-position model. The record is from RNAcentral.
CCUACGGGAGACAGCAGUGAGGAAUAUUGGUCAAUGGACGAGAGUCUGAACCAGCCAAGUAGCGUGAAGGAUGACUGCCCUAUGGGUUGUAAACUUCUUUUAUAUGGGAAUAAAAUGUUCCACGUGUGGGAUUUUGUAUGUACCAUAUGAAUAAGGAUCGGCUAACUCCGUGCCAGCAGCCGCGGUAAUACGGAGGAUCCGAGCGUUAUCAGGAUUUAUUGGGUUUAAAGGGCGCGUAGGUGGAUUGUUAAGUCAGUUGUGAAAGUUUGCGGCUCAACCGUAAAAUUGCAGUUGAAACUGGCAGUCUUGAGUACAGUAGAGGUGGGCGGAAUUCGUGGUGUAGCGGUGAAAUGCUUAGAUAUCACGAAGAACUCCGAUUGCGAAGGCAGUUCACUGGACUGCAACUGACACUGAGGCUCGAAAGUGUGGGUAUCAAACAGGAUUAGAUACCCCUGUAGUC